UGAGAAUUCUUGUGCGGUGCAACAGAAUUCUCUCAAUUCAAUGGUAGUAGUAAUUGCUGGUCCAAAAAGAAGACAAGAUACUUCUCAUCGAAGGGAAGUUGGCGUACAGGCGUGACAGAGAGACAUGGUGGAUUACGUUGCAAAAAAUGAUGCCCAAAUCAAACAUGGAAUCACCUAAUCCAAAUUUUCGUUCAUGGAAUUCUGGUAGUCGGUACUUCGAGAAUCCAGAUCACAUCCUUGCAUAUGGAAUCAACAAUUCUAACAUCAUUCUCGGUGCAAUUCCACUGGAAUACAUGAGAUCCAGUUAGGCGGGCACCCUCUUGGUCCACCAAUUUGCUUGGAACUCUGGAAGAAUUUACAAGAGAUGCUCAGUAAAAUUUCAUACAGGUAACGAUCUUGCACAAACACAAGAACAAAAGAAACAAUUCAGUGCCUAGAUCGAAGAGAUCUUUUGCCAAGAAUACAGAACAUACUUCCUAUCCAUAUCAAAUAAAUCAGAGUGAU
Molecule: long non-coding RNA, 504 nt
Filed under: Phoenix dactylifera (date palm)
Lineage: Eukaryota; Viridiplantae; Streptophyta; Magnoliopsida; Arecales; Arecaceae
Description: long non-coding RNA (PDAC_LNC023038)
Source: RNAcentral